AGAGUUUGAUCCUGGCUCAGAUUGAACGCUGGCGGCAUGCCUUACACAUGCAAGUCGAACGGCAGCACGGGCUUCGGUCUGGUGGCGAGUGGCGAACGGGUGAGUAAUGUAUCGGAACGUACCUUUCAGUGGGGGAUAACGUAGCGAAAGUUACGCUAAUACCGCAUAUUCUGUGAGCAGGAAAGCAGGGGAUCGCAAGACCUUGCGCUGAUUGAGCGGCCGAUAUCAGAUUAGCUAGUUGGUGGGGUAAAGGCCUACCAAGGCUACGAUCUGUAGCGAGUCUGAGAGGAUGAUCCGCCACACUGGAACUGAGACACGGUCCAGACUCCUACGGGAGGCAGCAGUGGGGAAUUUUGGACAAUGGGGGCAACCCUGAUCCAGCCAUGCCGCGUGAGUGAAGAAGGCCUUCGGGUUGUAAAGCUCUUUCGGCCGGGAAGAAAUCGCAUAGGUUAAUACCCUGUGUGGAUGACGGUACCGGAAUAAGAAGCACCGGCUAACUACGUGCCAGCAGCCGCGGUAAUACGUAGGGUGCGAGCGUUAAUCGGAAUUACUGGGCGUAAAGCGUGCGCAGGCGGUUUCGUAAGACAGAGGUGAAAUCCCCGGGCUCAACCUGGGAACUGCCUUUGUGACUGCGAAGCUAGAGUACGGCAGAGGGGGGUGGAAUUCCACGUGUAGCAGUGAAAUGCGUAGAGAUGUGGAGGAACACCGAUGGCGAAGGCAGCCCCCUGGGCCGAUACUGACGCUCAUGCACGAAAGCGUGGGUAGCAAACAGGAUUAGAUACCCUGGUAGUCC
RNAcentral lists this ribosomal RNA (793 nucleotides) under uncultured bacterium. Its description in RNAcentral is "bacterial SSU rRNA". It matches the Rfam family "Bacterial small subunit ribosomal RNA", at positions 8 to 796 of the family's 1533-position model. The record is from RNAcentral.